AACGAACGUUAGCGGCGCGCCUAACACAUGCAAGUCGCACGAGAAAGGGCUUCGGCCCCGGUACAGUGGCGCACGGGUGAGUAACACGUGGGUAAUCUGCCUUCGAGCGGGGGAUAACAUUCCGAAAGGAGUGCUAAUACCGCAUAAGACCACGCCUCCGAAAGGAGAAGCGGUCAAAGCCGGCCUCUAUUCAUAAGCUGGCACUCGAAAAUGAGCCCGCGGGGCAUCAGCAGUUGGUGAGGUAAUGGCUCACCAAGGCUUAGACGCCUAGCUGGUCUGAGAGGAUGAUCAGCCACACUGGGAACUGAGACACGGUCCAGACUCCUACGGGAGGCAGCAGUGGGGGAAUCUUUGCGCAAUGGGCGAAAGCCUGACGCAGCGACGCCGCGUGAGUGAUGAAGGCCUU
This 406-nucleotide ribosomal RNA is filed under the name uncultured bacterium. RNAcentral's name for it is "bacterial SSU rRNA". It matches the Rfam family "Bacterial small subunit ribosomal RNA", at positions 29 to 418 of the family's 1533-position model. The record is from RNAcentral.